AGGAUAUUGGCCCCAAGGAUUUGUUGGGUGGUGGAGGCCAAGAGGCAAGUAGUCACCUACAGCAGCCGGAUGACGGUAUAGCCCAAGGGGGUGGUGGAUUCAGGGCCGACAAUGAUCUCAGCUUGGAUGAUGCCAGGCACGAGAAUGGCUAUGCUUGGAAGUUAAUCGAUGGACGAGCUGAGCUUCUUUGACUAGUGAUGUGAUGCUGCAGCGGUACAUGGAGCCAUGCUUCUUCUGUGGUGCUUCUGCAGGGGUUCCCUGAUGCGGCAGCACCAGCAGCAAGAGAGAAGUAGA
Molecule: non-coding RNA, 294 nt
Organism: Lolium perenne
Lineage: Eukaryota; Viridiplantae; Streptophyta; Magnoliopsida; Poales; Poaceae
Source: RefSeq, a predicted model, not a curated record